UCUGGACCUGCUCGACGAGGGGACACGGGCCCGGCUGACGUCCGGCGCGGCGGAGGCCGCGGGGGUGGGCCCGCUGUUCGAGUCGGCGGUGCCGGGGC
RNAcentral lists this transfer RNA (98 nucleotides) under Streptomyces griseoaurantiacus. RNAcentral describes it as "tRNA-Val". Lineage: Bacteria; Bacillati; Actinomycetota; Actinomycetes; Kitasatosporales; Streptomycetaceae. The record is from RNAcentral.